This is a non-coding RNA of Paramuricea clavata, 75 nucleotides long. The record is from the annotation of a GenBank genome assembly. Lineage: Eukaryota; Metazoa; Cnidaria; Anthozoa; Malacalcyonacea; Plexauridae.
GCUUCUGUAGGUCAGUUGGUCAGCGAGCACUGCACCAGAAUCGCAGAGCUGCAGGUUCGAUUACUGCCAGAGGUU